CGUCUAUAUACGUAUAGCAUAUCAAUAAGCGGAGGAAAAGAAACUAACAAGGAUUCCCCUAGUAACGGCGAGUGAAGCGGGAAGAGCUCAAAUUUGAAAUCUUAAAGGGUUUCCCUUUACGAAUUGUAGUUUAAAGAAGUGUUUUCUGUUAGAGAGUUCGGUAAAAGUUCUUUGGAAUAGGACAUCAUAGAGGGUGAGAAUCCCGUAUUUGAUCACUUUCUACUAGCUUUGUGAUACACUUUCAAAGAGUCGGAUUGUUUGGGAAUGCAGUCCAAAAUGGGUGGUAAAUUUCAUCUAAAGCUAAAUACUGGCGAGAGACCGAUAGCGAACAAGUACCGUGAGGGAAAGAUGAAAAGAACUUUGAAAAGAGAGUUAAACAGUACGUGAAAUUGUCAAAGGGAAGCGUUUGACACCAGUGUUGUUUAGUUCGAAAAUCAAUUAAGAAUGUUGUGAUUUUGAGGAGUAUUGACUUUAUCAGGCUUGCUGCUUUCUUUUCAUGAAAUUAUUUAAUGCACUUUUCAGGUUAACAAGUCAACAUCAAUUUCUUUUGUUGUAAAAGAGUAUGAGGAAGGUGGCUUGCUCUUCGGCGCAAGUGUUUAUAGCCUUGUACCUCUGCAAUCGGAGAGAUUGAGGACUGCAGCGUAGACUCUUCGGGGUUAGAUACACUUUGUGCUAAGUUAUAGCCUUUUCAUAGACAACUUGUUGACUAUAGCUCAGUCUCGUAGCUUACUCGCUAGAUAGUAUUUUACCUACGCUUAGGAUGUUGACACACGCGCGUGCUCG
This 783-nucleotide ribosomal RNA is filed under the name uncultured Neocallimastigales. RNAcentral describes it as "partial large subunit ribosomal RNA". It matches the Rfam family "Eukaryotic large subunit ribosomal RNA", at positions 26 to 631 of the family's 3401-position model. The record is from RNAcentral. Lineage: Eukaryota; Fungi; Neocallimastigomycota; Neocallimastigomycetes; Neocallimastigales.